Tympanuchus pallidicinctus (lesser prairie-chicken) is the source of this 939-nucleotide long non-coding RNA. RefSeq lists it as uncharacterized. The record is from RefSeq and is a predicted model, not a curated record. The transcript has 4 exons. Lineage: Eukaryota; Metazoa; Chordata; Aves; Galliformes; Phasianidae.
UCAGCAAAAUACCACACAGGAAAGGCCCUGAAAUCCAAAACAUCACUGAGAAGAUAUUUCAGUUUGUGUGAAGGUCAACACCCAGGGGCUGAGAGGGCACCAAGAGGUGCAUCGUGACAAAGAGGCCUGGCCUCCCUGCAGAGCCAGGGCUUGGAUCUCAGAAGAUGCUGAUGAAGGCACUGUGCUUGUACCAUCAUCCAAACACUUACAGUAAGUAAGUAGUCAAGGCAAUAUCCACUUCUGAAGUAAGAAACGCCACAUUUUUAUUUGACUUUGCCAUGUGCAGAUUGCACAUUUGUUUCCGUAACCACAGACAGCUUUUGGAAGCAGAAUUAAGCAGCAAGCAAGCCCCGAAGGUCCAGGAGAGGAUACAACAGUGUCUCUUAAUGUUCCUGAUUCCCCAAAGGAAAACAGAGAAAUGAAAGCUGCAAGAUUUCUUUAACAUGUUAUAAUGGGGAGAAAAUGAGCAAAGUUAAACUCACAUCUUCAGAGCAAUGCUGACAGAUCAUUGAACACAUGCAGACAGGAGGGGUGCUUGGGUCACUUGGGCUAAUGGUGCUUUUUGUGGAGAUGUUUCAAAGUGCUCCAAGUCAAUAACCACCUAAUUGGCCUCGGUGGACUUCAGAUCUUGGCUUCCCGUGACAAAGGUAUGAACAAAGGUGAGGUGGUAUAUUGCUCCUCAGACAUGGCUGAGAUGCAUACUUCUAUUUGAGAAAUCAAAGUCAGAACAGAAUUAGGUGCUUGAAGUCUCCUGACAGGAAAAGACAAAAGAAGAUAAGAAACAUUGCACACAGCAGCAAAAACAGACCGUGAAUAUUGAAAGCAGAACCCUGGAUGAAUAUUUAAAAUACAAGCUCAAUUUUCAUGUUGGGAUUUAGCCUCUGCAUGUGAGCACAUCUGCUGGGUGAUCCACUGAUGCUACCUGCACUCCUAAGGGAA